Unclassified non-coding RNA from Nomascus leucogenys (northern white-cheeked gibbon), 99 nucleotides. It matches the Rfam family "Y RNA". Rfam says of the family: Y RNAs are components of the Ro ribonucleoprotein particle (Ro RNP), in association with Ro60 and La proteins. The record is from Ensembl. Lineage: Eukaryota; Metazoa; Chordata; Mammalia; Primates; Hylobatidae.
AACACCAAGUACAGUGGUGUUUACAACUAAUUUAUCACAACCAGCUACUAAUUCCUUUGUUCCUUCUCCACUCCCACUGCUUUGUUUGAGUAGCUUUAA